UACGAAGGGGGCUAGCGUUGCUCGGAAUGACUGGGCGUAAAGGGCGCGUAGGCGGCUCAUACAGUCAGGCGUGGAAUUCCUGGGCUCAACCUGGGGACUGCGCUUGAGACGUGUGGGCUUGAGUGGGGAAGAGGGUCGUGGAAUUCCCAGUGUAGAGGUGAAAUUCGUAGAUAUUGGGAAGAACACCGGUGGCGAAGGCGGCGACCUGGUCCUUGACUGACGCUGAGGCGCGAAAGCGUGGGGAGCAAACAGG
This 253-nucleotide ribosomal RNA is filed under the name uncultured bacterium. Its description in RNAcentral is "partial 16S ribosomal RNA". It matches the Rfam family "Bacterial small subunit ribosomal RNA", at positions 524 to 776 of the family's 1533-position model. The record is from RNAcentral.